This 231-nucleotide unclassified non-coding RNA is filed under the name plant metagenome. RNAcentral's name for it is "partial contains small subunit ribosomal RNA, internal transcribed spacer 1, and 5.8S ribosomal RNA". The stretch from base 183 to 231 matches the Rfam family "5.8S ribosomal RNA", at positions 1 to 49 of the family's 154-position model. The record is from RNAcentral.
UCUCCGUAGGUGAACCUGCGGAAGGAUCAUUCAUAAUAAAGUGUUUUAUGGCACUUUUUAAAAAUCCAUAUCCACCUUGUGUGCAAUGUUAGAUCUCGUCAAUCUUGGCGAGAUUUUUAUACAUCAACUCAUUCUUUAACUAAUUUGUCUGAAAAAUAUUAUGAAUACUUAAUUCAAAAUACAACUUUCAACAACGGAUCUCUUGGCUCUCGCAUCGAUGAAGAACGCGGC